UACGUAGGAGGCAAGCGUUAUCCGGAAUUACUGGGUGUAAAGGGCGUGUAGGCGGGGGGUUAAGUCAGAUGUGAAAUUCCGAAGCUCAACUUCGGGGCUGCACCUGAAACUAACCUUCUUGAGUGCUGGAGAGGAAAGCGGAAUUCCUAGUGUAGCGGUGAAAUGCGUAGAUAUUAGGAGGAACACCAGUGGCGAAGGCGGCUUUCUGGACAGUAACUGACGCUGAGGAGCGAAAGCGUGGGGAGCAAACAGG
This 253-nucleotide ribosomal RNA is filed under the name uncultured bacterium. RNAcentral describes it as "partial 16S ribosomal RNA". It matches the Rfam family "Bacterial small subunit ribosomal RNA", at positions 524 to 776 of the family's 1533-position model. The record is from RNAcentral.